AACCCAUGGUGAGGGCACCUUUUCAACAGGUCCUUGUAUCUCUCCCAUGCAUCUCAGAGUGUUUCUAGAUCCAUCUGCACAAAAGAAGAGAUAUCAUUCCUUAAUUU
This 107-nucleotide small nucleolar RNA is filed under the name Gossypium arboreum. RNAcentral's name for it is "Plant small nucleolar RNA R71". It matches the Rfam family "Plant small nucleolar RNA R71". From Rfam's summary of the family: R71 is a member of the C/D box family of snoRNAs containing the C (UGAUGA) and D (CUGA) box motifs. Multiple nearly identical copies of this snoRNA have been identified in Arabidopsis, and it is thought to function as a 2'-O-ribose methylation guide for 18S ribosomal RNA. The record is from Rfam by way of RNAcentral. Lineage: Eukaryota; Viridiplantae; Streptophyta; Magnoliopsida; Malvales; Malvaceae.